RNAcentral lists this ribosomal RNA (468 nucleotides) under uncultured bacterium. RNAcentral's name for it is "partial 16S ribosomal RNA". It matches the Rfam family "Bacterial small subunit ribosomal RNA", at positions 28 to 507 of the family's 1533-position model. The record is from RNAcentral.
GACGAACGCUGGCGGCGUGCUUAACACAUGCAAGUCGAACGGAAAGGCCCUGCUUUUGUGGGGUGCUCGAGUGGCGAACGGGUGAGUAACACGUGAGUAACCUGCCCUUGACUUUGGGAUAACUUCAGGAAACUGGGGCUAAUACCGGAUAGGAGCUCCUGCGGCAUGGUGGGGGUUGGAAAGUUUCGGCGGUUGGGGAUGGACUCGCGGCUUAUCAGCUUGUUGGUGGGGUAGUGGCUUACCAAGGCUUUGACGGGUAGCCGGCCUGAGAGGGUGACCGGCCACAUUGGGACUGAGAUACGGCCCAGACUCCUACGGGAGGCAGCAGUGGGGAAUAUUGCACAAUGGGCGGAAGCCUGAUGCAGCAACGCCGCGUGCGGGAUGACGGCCUUCGGGUUGUCAACCGCUUUCGCCUGUGACGAAGCGUGAGUGACGGUAAUGGGUAAAGAAGCACCGGCUAACUACGUG